Molecule: ribosomal RNA, 253 nt
Filed under: uncultured bacterium
Lineage: Bacteria
Description: partial 16S ribosomal RNA
Rfam family: Bacterial small subunit ribosomal RNA
Source: RNAcentral
UACAGAGGUCUCAACCGUUGUUCGGAUUCACUGGGUUUAAAGGGUGCGUAGGUGGGCAGGUAAGUCAGUGGUGAAAUCUCCGGGCUUAACUCGGAAACUGCCAUUGAUACUAUCUGUCUUGAAUACCGUGGAGGUUAGCGGAAUAUGUCAUGUAGCGGUGAAAUGCUUAGAUAUGACAUAGAACACCAAUUGCGAAGGCAGCUGGCUACACGAAUAUUGACACUGAUGCACGAAAGCGUGGGGAUCAAACAGG